Molecule: ribosomal RNA, 267 nt
Filed under: uncultured bacterium
Lineage: Bacteria
Description: partial 16S ribosomal RNA
Rfam family: Bacterial small subunit ribosomal RNA
Source: RNAcentral
CCCGGGCGACCGGCGCACGGGUGAGUAACACGUAUGGAACCUGCCCGCAGCAGGGGGAUAAGCGAAGAAAUUCCGUCUAAUACCGCGUAACACCGCAGAGGGGCAUCCCUCGGCGGUUAAAGAUUCAUCGGCUGCGGAUGGCCAUGCGGCGCAUUAGCUAGUCGGCGGGGUAACGGCCCACCGAGGCGACGAUGCGUAGGGGUUCUGAGAGGAAGGUCCCCCACACUGGUACUGAGACACGGACCAGACUCCUACGGAAGGCAGCAG